Molecule: ribosomal RNA, 301 nt
Filed under: uncultured bacterium
Lineage: Bacteria
Description: partial 16S ribosomal RNA
Rfam family: Bacterial small subunit ribosomal RNA
Source: RNAcentral
CAGUAGCCGCGGUAAUACGUAGGUGGCAAGCGUUGUCCGGAAUUAUUGGGCGUAAAGGGCUCGCAGGCGGCUUCUUAAGUCUGAUGUGAAAGCCCCCGGCUCAACCGGGGAGGGUCAUUGGAAACUGGGAAACUUGAGUGCAGAAGAGGAGAGUGGAAUUCCACGUGUAGCGGUGAAAUGCGUAGAGAUGUGGAGGAACACCAGUGGCGAAGGCGACUCUCUGGUCUGUAACUGACGCUGAGGAGCGAAAGCGUGGGGAGCGAACAGGAUUAGAUACCCCUGUAGUCCCUGUCUCUUAUAA